Laetiporus sulphureus 93-53 is the source of this 98-nucleotide transfer RNA. It matches the Rfam family "tRNA". Rfam says of the family: Transfer RNA (tRNA) molecules are approximately 80 nucleotides in length. The record is from Rfam. Lineage: Eukaryota; Fungi; Basidiomycota; Agaricomycetes; Polyporales; Laetiporaceae.
GCCGCGUUAGCGUAGUGGUAGCGCGUCGCACUUGUAGCCUUACUUAUGUGAGAAGCUUUGACAUGCGAAGGUCACUCGUUCAACCCGGGUACGUGGCA